UUUGUGGGCCAGAACACCGCUGCGGCACCGUCGCAGAGGAAAGUCCGGACUCCAGACAAAUUCUGCCGGUCGAGGCCGUGCGGAGCGGGCAGUGAGCCAGGUAACGCCUGGGCGGGGCAACCCGACGGAAAGUGCCACAGAGAACAGACCGCCGAUGGCCCGCAAGGGCACAGGCAAGGGUGAAACGGUGGGGUAAAAGCCCACCGCCGCGCUGGCAACAGGGCGGGCACGGCAAACCCCUCACGGAGCAAAACCAAAUAGGCCGACGUACUCCAGGAGGAGCGAGGAUUGGCCCGAUCGAGUCGGCGGGUAGGUUGCUUGAGGUUCGCAGCGAUGCGGAUCCCAGAGGAAUGGUGUUCCCGAUCUUGCGAUCGGACAGAAUCCGGCUUACCGGUCCACCCACGGC
Molecule: RNase P RNA, 406 nt
Filed under: Bacillota bacterium
Lineage: Bacteria; Bacillati; Bacillota
Description: RNase P RNA component class A
Rfam family: Bacterial RNase P class A
About the family: Ribonuclease P (RNase P) is a ubiquitous endoribonuclease, found in archaea, bacteria and eukarya as well as chloroplasts and mitochondria. Its best characterised activity is the generation of mature 5'-ends of tRNAs by cleaving the 5'-leader elements of precursor-tRNAs. Cellular RNase Ps are ribonucleoproteins.
Source: RNAcentral